GAUGAACGCUAGCGGCAGGCUUAAUACAUGCAAGUCGAGGGGCAGCACGAAUAGCAAUAUUUGGUGGCGACCGGCGCACGGGUGCGUAACACGUAUACAACCUACCUAUAACAGGGGGAUAGCCUUUCGAAAGAGAGAUUAAUACCCCGUAAUAAAUUGAGUGGCAUCACUUGAUUUUGAAAGCUACGGCGGUUAUAGAUGGGUAUGCGUCUGAUUAGCUAGUUGGUGAGGUAACGGCUCACCAAGGCGACGAUCAGUAGGGGAUCUGAGAGGACUAACCCCCACACUGGUACUGAGACACGGACCAGACUCCUACGGGAGGCAGCAGUAAGGAAUAUUGGUCAAAUGGAGGCAACUCUGAACCAGCCAUGCCGCGUGCAGGAUGACGGCCCUAUGGGUUGUAAACUGCUUUUGUACCAGAGAAAACCUACUCACGUGUGAGUAGCUGAUAGUAUGGUAAGAAUAAGCAUCGGCUAACUUCGUGCCAGCA
This 490-nucleotide ribosomal RNA is filed under the name uncultured bacterium. RNAcentral's name for it is "bacterial SSU rRNA". It matches the Rfam family "Bacterial small subunit ribosomal RNA", at positions 28 to 513 of the family's 1533-position model. The record is from RNAcentral.